AUGAAGUUCCUAUCAUUCAUGGAUCUGCCUUGUCAUCCAUGGAUGGCUAUGGUUAUCUUCCCGCUCCUCCUGCCUCUCACCGAUGCCCAAACGUGGCCAUCCUAUUCCUGCGGCAACAACGGCGACUACAAAUCAAAUAGCACCUACGAAGCCAACCUCAUGCUCCUCUCAUCCUUCCUCCCGAACAAGGCGGCAUCCAGCAGCACCCUCUUUGCCACUGACACCGUUGGCAACGCUCCGGACAUCGUGUACGCCCUCACGCUCUGCCGUGGGGACUCCAACGCCUCCGCCUGCCGGAGCUGCGUGGCUAACGCCUUUCAGGACCUCCAGCAAAUGUGCUCAUACAGUAGGGAUGCCGUAGUGUACUAUGAUCCCUGCAUGCUCAAGUUCUCCAACAAGAAUUUUCUCGCCACCACCACCACCACCGUCAAUGAAUUACCCAUCGUCAUGAACCCUAACAACUUAAUGACAAACGCCGACAUCACCCAGCGAUUAUUGUUCACGCUUAUCAACAGAACAGCUCAAUCGGCCGCCAAUAGCUCGAGGAGAUUCACCACCUCGCGCUUAGAUGUCGGCUCCUCCCCGGUUCUUUACUGUCUCAUGCAAUGCACGCCCGAUCUGACAGCCGCAGACUGCACGACCUGUUUCCAUGUUGUCUCGAGUUGUACACUCCAGUACCUGGCCGGAAGGCAAGGUGGCCGAGUUCUGUGGACACGGUGUAACAUGAGGUAUGAGAUGUACCCAUUCUUCCCAGGGGACCCUACGCUGCGAAUUACCAACUUGGCCCAUGAUGUUCCGGUGAUCAACAACACUACGACACCAGCUACCGUGCAGCCACAAUCGCAGCCACCAGCUGCGGCGCCAUCCCCCGAGGGAAAACCGACCGUCCAAGAACACAACAGACACAAAUCACGCAAGAGGACACUGUCGAUUAUUAUUCCUGUGGUGGCUACGCUGCUGUCAGUACUUAUGUGCUUUAUCUGUUUCAUUGUAUGGAAGAGAAGAAAAGGUAAGGUAAACAUAAACAAUCAAGCUGCCAUGAAUAGGCCGGAAGAAUAUGCACUGGUUUGGAGAUUGGAGGAGAGGAGUUCAGAGUUCACACUCUUUGACUUUCCUGAGAUACUGCAAGCUACACAUGACUUUUCCAAAGAAAAUCUACUUGGGAAAGGUGGUUUUGGCCCUGUCUACAAGGGCCAAUUACCAGAUGGAAUUGAGAUUGCUGUUAAAAGGCUUGCCUCACAAUCAGGACAGGGUUUCACAGAAUUCAAGAAUGAAGUUGAACUUAUUGCAAAACUACAGCACAAUAAUCUGGUAAAGCUCUUGGGAUGUUGCAUUCAGGGAGAGGAAAAAGUAUUGGUGUAUGAGUAUUUGCCAAAUAAGAGCUUGGACUUCUUUAUAUUUGAUGAAAACAGAACAACUUUGGUUGAUUGGGAAAAAAGACGUGUCAUAAUUGAAGGGAUAGCCCAAGGUCUUCUAUAUCUUCACAAACACUCUCGAUUGCGCAUCAUACACAGAGAUCUCAAGGCCAGCAACAUUCUCUUAGACCAGGACAUGAAUCCUAAAAUUUCUGAUUUUGGUCUAGCAAAAAUUUUCAGCUCCAAUGACACUCAGGGAAGCACAAAGAGGAUAGUGGGAACAUAUGGUUAUAUGUCUCCCGAGUAUGCAUCUGAAGGCAUUUACUCAAUCAAAUCCGACGUGUUCAGCUUUGGUGUGUUGCUUCUUGAGAUCCUCAGUGGAAAAAGGAAUUCUCGUUUCCAUCAUUGCGAAGACUUUCUUAACCUUCUUGGAUAUUCAUGGCAUCUCUGGGAAGGAGGAAGGUGGCUUGAGCUUCUAGAACUAUCAAUUGUUACGGAGAUCCAUACAACAGAGGCUAGGAGGUAUAUUAACAUUGCACUAAUGUGCGUACAAGAGAGUGCAGAUGAUCGACCCACCAUGUCAGAUGUUGUUGCAAUGUUAAACAGCGAGAGUGUUAUUAUUCCAGAGCCUAAUCCUCCUGCAUAUGUCAACGUAAGAGUAUCUACGGUACACCAAUCAGCUGGUGUUGUUGUUCCAUGCAGUAAUAAUGAUGUAACCAUCACCGAAGAGCCUGAUGGGAGAUAG
Molecule: ribosomal RNA, 2100 nt
Filed under: Triticum aestivum (bread wheat)
Lineage: Eukaryota; Viridiplantae; Streptophyta; Magnoliopsida; Poales; Poaceae
Description: partial small subunit ribosomal RNA
Source: RNAcentral